RNAcentral lists this ribosomal RNA (250 nucleotides) under uncultured archaeon. RNAcentral's name for it is "partial 16S ribosomal RNA". It matches the Rfam family "Archaeal small subunit ribosomal RNA", at positions 474 to 723 of the family's 1478-position model. The record is from RNAcentral.
UACCGGCGGCUCGAGUGGUGGCCACUAUUACUGGGCUUAAAGCGUUCGUAGCUGGCUUGUUAAGUCUCUGGGGAAAUCUUCCGGCUCAACCGGAAGGCGUCUCAGGGAUACUGGCAGGCUAGGGACCGGAAGAGGUGAGAGGUACUCCAGGGGUAGGAGUGAAAUCCUGUAAUCCUUGGGGGACCACCUGUGGCGAAGGCGUCUCACCAGGACGGCUCCGACAGUGAGGAACGAAAGCUGGGGGAGCAAA